This 450-nucleotide ribosomal RNA is filed under the name Carios vespertilionis. RNAcentral describes it as "partial 16S ribosomal RNA". Lineage: Eukaryota; Metazoa; Arthropoda; Arachnida; Ixodida; Argasidae. The record is from RNAcentral.
UCUGCUCAAUGAUUUUUUAAAUUGCUGUGGUAUUUUAACUAUACGAAGGUAUUGAAAUAAGGCUUUAAAUGGGUGCUAAGAGAAUGGUUUAACGAAGAUAGACUUUUUUCUUUUUUUUAUUAAAAGUUGAUUUAAAAAUGAAGAGGUUUUUAUAGAAAUUUGGGACAAGAAGACCCUAUGAAUUUUGAUAUAAGAUUUUUUAAUUAAAUUUUCUAAUAAAUUUUAAAUUUUUCUUUUAUUUGAUUGGGGUGAUUUUUAAAGAUUCAGAAUCUUUAAAGUUUUAUUAAAUGGAUCCAUUAAUAUUGAUUUGUUGAAUAAAAUACUCUAGGGAUAACAGCGUUAUUAUUUUGGAUAGUUCAUAUAGAUAAAAUAGUUUGCGACCUCGAUGUUGGAUUAAGAUACUCUUGGAGUGUAGAAGCUCAAAAAUAGGAGAAGUUUGCUCAAGCUUUU